GGGCGCCGGAGGGGCGAGCGUGGCAGGGACCCCGAGCGCUCACCUUUGAGGAAGUAGACCCGCGGGCCGGCGGGUAGGCAAGCGAGUAGCGAGGUGAGGACGACACGCGCGGCGCUCUCCUCUCGCAGCUUCUGCCAGUGGCGGCUGCCCUGCACGUAGCGCGCCGACACCGCGCCGCCCCGGGCCCGCCGCAGCACCACCGAGUUGAGGUUGACGUUGAGCGAGCCGCGCACGUUCGAGGCAGCGAAGGCCAGAUAGGGCCGGCAGUCGAGCACCACGCAGCGCGCCGCCGCCUCCUUGCGGAGCAUCUUGCGCAGCUGGCGCCCGUCGAGCGACGUGACCUUCAUGCCGCCGCCGCCGCCGGCCAGCGGCCCCGCGCCGCGCGCCCCGCGGGUGCCCACGGCCAGGGUGUCCACGGCCAGGGUGUCCGCGGGCGAGGCACGGGAGGGCGACCCGCGGGGCUGCGGCC
This 469-nucleotide long non-coding RNA is filed under the name Homo sapiens (human). RNAcentral's name for it is "long non-coding RNA NONHSAT157500.1". Lineage: Eukaryota; Metazoa; Chordata; Mammalia; Primates; Hominidae. The record is from RNAcentral.